GCUACGAAAGGGACGACUCUAAUGAGACUGCCGGUGACAAACCGGAGGAAGGUGGGGAUGACGUCAAGUCCUCAUGGCCCUUAUAGGUGGGGCUACACACGUCAUACAAUGGCUGGUACAAAGGGUUGCCAACCCGCGAGGGGGAGCCAAUCCCAUAAAGCCAGUCGUAGUCCGGAUCGCAGUCUGCAACUCGACUGCGUGAAGUCGGAAUCGCUAGUAAUCGUGGAUCAGCAUGUCACGGUGAAUACGUUCCCGGGUCUU
Molecule: ribosomal RNA, 261 nt
Filed under: uncultured Variovorax sp.
Lineage: Bacteria; Pseudomonadati; Pseudomonadota; Betaproteobacteria; Burkholderiales; Comamonadaceae
Description: partial 16S ribosomal RNA
Rfam family: Bacterial small subunit ribosomal RNA
Source: RNAcentral